CAAUAGCGUAUAUUAACUUUGUUGCAGUUAAAAAGCUCGUAGUUGAAUUUUAGGUUAUUGAUGUGUCCUUGUUCUUUUGAAUAUUGGAUUAUGUCAUGACCUUUUGCGAAUGGAAUUUUCGUGGCAUUAGGUUGUCGCGGAUUGGAUGUUUGCCGUUUACUGUGAAAAAAUUAGAGUGUUCAAAGCAGGCUUAUGCCUUAUUGAAUAUAUUAGCAUGGAAUAAUGAGAUAGGACCUGUGUGCUAUUUUGUUGGUUUGCGCAUGUGGGUAAUGAUUAACAGGAACGGUUGGGGGUCUUCGUAUUCCAUUGUCAGAGGUGAAAUUCUUGGAUUUUUGGAAGACGAACUACUGCGAAAGCAUUGACCAAGGAUGUUUUCAUUAA
Molecule: ribosomal RNA, 381 nt
Filed under: uncultured eukaryote
Lineage: Eukaryota
Description: partial 18S ribosomal RNA
Rfam family: Eukaryotic small subunit ribosomal RNA
Source: RNAcentral